This 614-nucleotide ribosomal RNA is filed under the name uncultured Bacilli bacterium. Its description in RNAcentral is "bacterial SSU rRNA". It matches the Rfam family "Bacterial small subunit ribosomal RNA", at positions 98 to 700 of the family's 1533-position model. Lineage: Bacteria; Bacillati; Bacillota; Bacilli. The record is from RNAcentral.
GCGAACGGGUGAGUAACGCGUAGGUAACCUGCCUGGUAGCGGGGGAUAACUAUUGGAAACGAUAGCUAAUACCGCAUAAGAGUAGAUGUUGCAUGACAUUUGCUUAAAAGGUGCAAUUGCAUCACUACCAGAUGGACCUGCGUUGUAUUAGCUAGUUGGUGGGGUAACGGCUCACCAAGGCGACGAUACAUAGCCGACCUGAGAGGGUGAUCGGCCACACUGGGACUGAGACACGGCCCAGACUCCUACGGGAGGCAGCAGUAGGGAAUCUUCGGCAAUGGACGGAAGUCUGACCGAGCAACGCCGCGUGAGUGAAGAAGGUUUUCGGAUCGUAAAGCUCUGUUGUAAGAGAAGAACGAGUGUGAGAGUGGAAAGUUCACACUGUGACGGUAUCUUACCAGAAAGGGACGGCUAACUACGUGCCAGCAGCCGCGGUAAUACGUAGGUCCCGAGCGUUGUCCGGAUUUAUUGGGCGUAAAGCGAGCGCAGGCGGUUAGAUAAGUCUGAAGUUAAAGGCUGUGGCUUAACCAUAGUACGCUUUGGAAACUGUUUAACUUGAGUGCAAGAGGGGAGAGUGGAAUUCCAUGUGUAGCGGUGAAAUGCGUAGAUAUAUG